CCUACGGGAGGCAGCAGUGAGGAAUAUUGGUCAAUGGACGAGAGUCUGAACCAGCCAAGUAGCGUGCAGGAUGACGGCCCUAUGGGUUGUAAACUGCUUUUAUACGGGGAUAAAGUGACCCACGUGUGGGUUUUUGUAGGUACCGUAUGAAUAAGGACCGGCUAAUUCCGUGCCAGCAGCCGCGGUAAU
Molecule: ribosomal RNA, 189 nt
Filed under: uncultured bacterium
Lineage: Bacteria
Description: partial 16S ribosomal RNA
Rfam family: Bacterial small subunit ribosomal RNA
Source: RNAcentral